GCCGCGUGGAGGAUGACACAUUUCGGUGCGUAAACUCCUUUUAUAUAAGAAGAUAAUGACGGUAUUAUAUGAAUAAGCACCGGCUAACUCCGUGCCAGCAGCCGCGGUAAUACGGAGGGUGCAAGCGUUACUCGGAAUCACUGGGCGUAAAGAGCGUGUAGGCGGAUAGAUAAGUCAGAAGUGAAAUCCAAUAGCUUAACUAUUGAACUGCUUUUGAAACUGUCUAUCUAGAGUAUGGGAGAGGUAGAUGGAAUUUCUGGUGUAGGGGUAAAAUCCGUAGAGAUCAGAAGGAAUACCGAUUGCGAAGGCGAUCUACUGGAACA
RNAcentral lists this ribosomal RNA (323 nucleotides) under uncultured bacterium. RNAcentral's name for it is "bacterial SSU rRNA". It matches the Rfam family "Bacterial small subunit ribosomal RNA", at positions 396 to 736 of the family's 1533-position model. The record is from RNAcentral.